Molecule: ribosomal RNA, 253 nt
Filed under: uncultured bacterium
Lineage: Bacteria
Description: partial 16S ribosomal RNA
Rfam family: Bacterial small subunit ribosomal RNA
Source: RNAcentral
UACGUAGGGGGCGAGCGUUGUCCGGAAUCAUUGGGCGUAAAGGGCGCGUAGGCGGUCAGCACAAGUCAGUUGUGAAAUCUCCGGGCUUAACUCGGAAAGGUCAACUGAUACUGUGCGACUAGAGUGCAGAAGGGGCAACUGGAAUUCUCGGUGUAGCGGUGAAAUGCGUAGAUAUCGAGAGGAACACCUGCGGCGAAGGCGGGUUGCUGGCUGACACUGACGCUGAUGCGCGAAAGCCAGGGGAGCGAACGGG